CGAUUAAUCGUGGUUAAUCAAUUUGACAGAAAAUACUUAUAUACUAUUUUUUUGAAAGAACACAUUAACACAGUCUCACCAACCCCAAACUUUUGAACAUAGUGAAUUUAUAAAGCAUAUUAGUUUUUGCUGUUGCAAUGAAAUUGAUAUUCUACUCAUAUUGGUACAGACUACAGAUUUAUUUAUUAUUCUUUUUUUUUUUUAGAAUCAGAGCAACUCUGGUAGUGAGUAUGUUUAAGUAUAUUUGUAUGUAUGUGAACUAACCCACCCUACCUCUUUUAAAGGCCUGGCAAUGAAACCAUCUCUGAACACAAAGAGAUGUCUACCACAGACAACUGUGUAGUCUCUUCAAGUCAUUCAUAUAGAAAGCCUCUUUAGUGCAGUGUGGCCUCUUUAUCCUACCAAUUAUUAUUUGCUUUAUUUUAAAUAUUUCAGAUGUUUUUUUUCAUGGUUUCUCCAAAAUCAUGUGUAGAAGGAUGAAACUUUAUGUGGGAGAGGAAUACUGUGUGUGCAUCUAUUUGAGUGUAAGUGUUGAAAUCAUGAGAUUUUCAUCAUACUAAGACACUGGCUUCAUGAUUUAAACCUCUCUGUUUCCAGGGAGAUUCUGGAACGUUGCCCUUCUUCUAUAUGUGUGUUCUCACACUUACAUGAACUAAUAUCUCUCUUUCCCCACCGGAACCCUGCAGAAACUAGAGGAGGAGAAGGAGAGAGAACGGCAGCAGAUUGAGAAAGAGCGGAGAGAAAGAGACAAAGAGAGAGAACGAGAGAAAGAGCGACGUGAUCGGGAGAGAGAGAAGGAGCGGGAGAGAGAGAGACAGAAGGAGAGAGAAAAGGAGCGAGAAAAGGAGCGAGAACGAGAACGAACGCGGGAGAAAGAGAGAAGUCGUGAUCGCAGUAAAGACAGAAGCAGAUCAAGGGAGAAGAGUCGAGAAGAGAAGAAAAGAGAGCGCGAGGAAGAUGAGGAGGAGGCGUAUGAACGACGGAAACUGGAGAGGAAGCUACGUGAAAAAGAAGCAGCCUAUCAGGAGCGCCUGAAGAACUGGGAGAUAGGAGAGAGGAAAAAAGCAAGGGAUUACAGUAAAGAAACAGAGAGAGAAGAGGAAAGACACAGAGAGAUGGUAAGAAUAAAUGUAUAAAAACUAUUAGCUAUCAGAGUCUAUUUAUACAUGAUGAUAG
Molecule: long non-coding RNA, 1176 nt
Filed under: Sinocyclocheilus anshuiensis
Lineage: Eukaryota; Metazoa; Chordata; Actinopteri; Cypriniformes; Cyprinidae
Description: lncRNA (ENSSANG00000012519.1)
Source: RNAcentral